RNAcentral lists this ribosomal RNA (253 nucleotides) under uncultured bacterium. Its description in RNAcentral is "partial 16S ribosomal RNA". It matches the Rfam family "Bacterial small subunit ribosomal RNA", at positions 524 to 776 of the family's 1533-position model. The record is from RNAcentral.
UACGUAGGGGGCAAGCGUUGUCCGGAUUUAUUGGGCGUAAAGAGCUCGUAGGCGGUCUGUUGCGUCGGCUGUGAAAACCCGGGGCGCAACUCCGGGCCUGCAGCCGAUACGGGCAGACUAGAGUUCGGCAGGGGAGACUGGAAUUCCUGGUGUAGCGGUGAAAUGCGCAGAUAUCAGGAGGAACACCGGUGGCGAAGGCGGGUCUCUGGGCCGAUACUGACGCUGAGGAGCGAAAGCGUGGGGAGCGAACAGG